RNAcentral lists this ribosomal RNA (478 nucleotides) under uncultured bacterium. RNAcentral's name for it is "partial 16S ribosomal RNA". It matches the Rfam family "Bacterial small subunit ribosomal RNA", at positions 28 to 523 of the family's 1533-position model. The record is from RNAcentral.
GACGAACGCUGGCGGCGUGCUUAACACAUGCAAGUCGAACGGUAAGGCCCUUCGGGGUACACGAGUGGCGAACGGGUGAGUAACACGUGGGUGAUCUGCCCUGCACUUCGGGAUAAGCCUGGGAAACUGGGUCUAAUACCGGAUAGGACCCUGGGAUGCAUGUCCUGGGGUGGAAAGCUUUUGCGGUGUGGGAUGGGCCCGCGGCCUAUCAGCUUGUUGGUGGGGUGAUGGCCUACCAAGGCGACGACGGGUAGCCGGCCUGAGAGGGUGACCGGCCACACUGGGACUGGGAUACGGCCCAGACGCCGACGGGAGGCAGCAGUGGGGAAUAUUGCACAAUGGGCGCAAGCCUGAUGCAGCGACGCCGCGUGAGGGAUGACGGCCUUCGGGUUGUAAACCUCUUUCAGCACCGACGAAGCGCAAGUGACGGUAGGUGCAGAAGAAGGACCGGCCAACUACGUGCCAGCCGCCGCCGUAC